Long non-coding RNA from Manihot esculenta (cassava), 580 nucleotides. RefSeq lists it as uncharacterized. The transcript is spliced from 2 exons. NCBI's taxonomy places the organism in Eukaryota, Viridiplantae, Streptophyta, Magnoliopsida, Malpighiales, Euphorbiaceae. The record is from RefSeq and is a predicted model, not a curated record.
UAAAAUUUUUAUUUUUAAAAUUUAAUUUUAUCAAAAUUGAAGGUAAUUUAUGUUAAAGUUAAAUGAUCAUAUUUUCCGGUGGACUGAAAAACCACAAAGACAUACAAGGACGAAAAUACCCCUUAAGUUGCGGGAGGCCAUCUCGGAUUAGGGUUUCCGGUUGCUUAUAAAUUGCAGAGAGAAGCUCCCCCCUGUGCUCUCCUCAAGCUUCGAUUGAAAAUCCUGGUUAUCCCUGAGGAAUCACUGUAGAGAGUGACACAAGUAGAUCCUGAGGGCUUUACAGGAUGAGAGCUAAGUGGAAGAAGAAGAGAAUGAGGAGAUUGAAGAGAAAGCGCCGAAAGAUGAGGCAGAGAUCUAAGUAGGCGCUUGGAUUUUGAACAAGAUGGGGUCUUCUCCUGAUACCUUCAGCUGGCUUUCAUUUUGAUUUAUCAUCUGGUUUUAGUUUUAGCUAUUGAUUUUGAGACUCCCAGUUAAAUUUUUUGAGUUGUAUUUCACCUGAUUACAGUAUGCUUUUUAAGUGGAUGAUGAAAUUUUUUUUUAAAGGUUUAUGCAGUAUAUCCUAAUGCUUAGUCUACUGUUC